GACAGAGGGGGCAAGCGUUGCUCGGAAUCACUGGGCGUAAAGGGCGCGUAGGCGGGACGCCAAGUCGGUCGUGAAAUCUCCGGGCUCAACCCGGAGGAGUCGGCCGAAACUGGUGUUCUUGAGGGAGGCAGAGGAGUCUGGAAUUCCCGGUGUAGCGGUGAAAUGUGUAGAGAUCGGGAGGAACACCGGUGGCGAAGGCGGCGUUCUGGACUGCAACUGACACUGAGGAACGAAAGCCAGGGGAGCAAACGGG
This 253-nucleotide ribosomal RNA is filed under the name uncultured bacterium. RNAcentral describes it as "partial 16S ribosomal RNA". It matches the Rfam family "Bacterial small subunit ribosomal RNA", at positions 524 to 776 of the family's 1533-position model. The record is from RNAcentral.